RNAcentral lists this long non-coding RNA (418 nucleotides) under Equus caballus (horse). RNAcentral's name for it is "lncRNA (ENSECAG00000045056.1)". The record is from RNAcentral. Lineage: Eukaryota; Metazoa; Chordata; Mammalia; Perissodactyla; Equidae.
ACCUACAGCUGAAUGUUAUCACUUCCAGGUGAAGGGGUCCCAGGGCCUUGCUGGCCUGGAAGUAGAGUUGUACAGACAUCGCCUGCUGAUGCUCCCUUAUCCUCCAGAUCUCUGGGUCUCCUUCUAAAACAUUAGGACUAGAAGAAACUACGAGAGCAUCCAAGCAUUUCCUCCAACGUUCUGUUUUACAGGCACUGUCUGUGACACUUGGGAUAUGUCAGCGAUCCAAAGAGACCACGAUGCCUGCCCGUGGGGACUUCAUGUUCCAGUGGAAGAAAACAAACAAUUACACAAAGAUCAGAAGAGGAUGUGAGGUCAAGCCCAGUGCUCCAGAGGCCCGUGUGGUCUUUGUUCCCCAAGGAGGCAGGACAGGACAGAGGUUAUAAGGACUUAAGUUCCAAUAUCAAACUAGAUUCAA